This 497-nucleotide ribosomal RNA is filed under the name uncultured bacterium. RNAcentral describes it as "partial 16S ribosomal RNA". It matches the Rfam family "Bacterial small subunit ribosomal RNA", at positions 28 to 507 of the family's 1533-position model. The record is from RNAcentral.
GAUGAACGCUGGCGGCGUGCCUAAUACAUGCAAGUCGAGCGAACAGACGAGGAGCUUGCUCCUCUGACGUUAGCGGCGGACGGGUGAGUAACACGUGGAUAACCUACCUAUAAGACUGGGAUAACUUCGGGAAACCGGAGCUAAUACCGGAUAAUAUAUUGAACCGCAUGGUUCAAUAGUGAAAGACGGUUUUGCUGUCACUUAUAGAUGGAUCCGCGCCGCAUUAGCUAGUUGGUAGGGUAACGGCUUACCAAGGCAACGAUGCGUAGCCGACCUGAGAGGGUGAUCGGCCACACUGGAACUGAGACACGGUCCAGACUCCUACGGGAGGCAGCAGUAGGGAAUCUUCCGCAAUGGGCGAAAGCCUGACGGAGCAACGCCGCGUGAGUGAUGAAGGUCUUCGGAUCGUAAAACUCUGCUAUUAGGGAAGAACAAAUGUGUAAGUAACUAUGCACGUCUUGACGGUACCUAAUCAGAAAGCCACGGCUAACUACGUG